AUACAUAUUUUUUUUAUUUAGAGGUUACCAGAAGCUCUGGUUUUGUUUUGUUUUGUUUUGUUUUUUUAAAAUCAUUUUCAGAUGUUAUCCAGAAAUCUGCAAGUGUACUUUUCCUGUUUUAACUCCUUCCUUUUAUCACCUGACUAUCAGGGAAGCGAGGUUGAGGCUGCCCUGACCUGACAUGUCAUGAUGUCGACUUGCUAGGUGGGGUUCGCUGGGGACGAUAACCAGUGGAAUUAUUGGCCUUACAGCUAGAGAAGUAGUCCAUCUGAUGUUGAAUGCAAGUGGGUGUGAUACCAGAACUGACAUUUUAACCACCAUUCUACUGUCUUCUGGAUUUACUUGCUCUAUGCAGUCUUAUUAGAUUGGGAGUUCUUAUUCCUUGAAGGUAAAGGCCACUUUAUUUCUGUGAAUACUUCUUAGUUGCCCUGUUUGUACCUUCCUGCUUUCUUUUAUGUCUUCAGAGUGGCUACUUACUAGAAGCUCAUGAAGGUUAGGUGUAUUUAUAACCAUGUUUGUCUGUAGUGUUGAUUGUCUUUUCUAUAAUGCCUUCCUGAUUAGGAAGUGGUCAUUAUUAUUCCCAUUUCACUUUAUAACUCAUGUGAUUUACCUAGGCUAGGGUUAUGGAAUAAAGAUAAAACAGAACUAGAACUUCCUGAUAACUAUUCACUCACCUUAAUUCCUAGAGAAAACCUAUAGUGAUAUGCAUAAACAGAGGUAAACAGUACCCUGAUGUACUUUGGAAAAAUCUGUUCUGUGAUAGUAACAGUCUGUAUAUGUACAUGUGUGUAUAUAUAUGAUUAAUAAAUAUCCAGGAUAGCAGAACUGGGACUUAAUGACCAGAAAAUAUUAAAACAGACUGGCACUAAUCAUAAUUAGCAACAAAGAUUAACCAGCCAACUUCAGAAUUCCAAAUAGCUAGCUAACAAGGUAUCCACAGUUUUGCAGUUCCAUCUAAUUGUUUUGCCUAGGAAAUUUGUAAUUACCGAUUCAUUGCUAUUCAAAGUCAGUGUACUAAUAAUACCAAUAAUCUUCAGGCCAUUUCAGUUGCCUUUUUGCUCCCAAUCACUUGAUUUCUGACACAGUAGUAGUAAAGCCCUCAAAACUUCUAGCUUUUGAAUUGUUUGAACCACAAUUCUAUAUCUUUCCUUGUCCUGGGUAAUGCCUCCUUUCUGUGUAAUACUUUUGUCCUACUUUAGGAACUUCUUCCACUUGUAAGGCUCUGUAGAUUUUAUAUCUUCCUAAAUCAUACCUCUAGCCAUAAUCUUUUCACUCUCCUAUGUACCUCUAGAUCAUUGAAACUUUGAUAAAAUUAAAAAUAGUUACCAGCAUUUGUUCACUUAAAUACUUAAUGAAUACGUAUGUUCCUAGCACUGUGGAGGCAUGUGGCUACAGGGGGAACAUCUGGCAAGGGGGACAAAACCUUCAAAAACAACCAUGAAAGAACUGUGUGCUUUUAAAGCAUUUUUGUGUGGUGAUGAGGAUGGAACCCAGGGCUUUGCACAUACUGGGCAAGCACUGUAGCCUCUGGGAACACUCUGCAUCCCACAGACUGCAAUCUUCUAUUGGGUUAUGCCAGUUCUUGAUGAUGUCUUUCCCAUAAUUCCUGCAGUCAUUAGUUCAGUAUCCUCAGAUGGUUGUAUUUAUAUUUUUCUUGUAGGAAAAUGACUUGGAACCAAUGCAGAAACAAAUAUAAUUAUCAACAAACACCAACAUGCCCAUUAUGUCAUGAUGUCUAAUUAAAUUCUUGAAAUUUUAGACCCUUUAUAUAGUUUGCUAGGGUCUUCCUUUCAGACCUUUAUCUUGUUAAAACUGACUGCAGUUCUGCAUAAUGCUUUCCUCUUAGGAAGGCUGUACUAACUUACUUGCUCACACCCUUAUCCACCUCUUUACUCAUUACUUCCUAGCAGUUACUUUGGAGAUUAUUCCCUUUUCUUUAAACAGGAGGAUUGGAAGGUAAUGUCAUAACAGGAAAAUGAUAUCUAGGCUCCACCCAGUGGCCCUCUUCAAGGAGCAUUUGGAAACACUUAAGUGAUGGGCAACAAAUUUGGACAGAACUUUACUAUCUAGAUGUUGUGGGUAACAAAAUCUGUACGUAGAAAAUGUAGAAGGGUCAGCAUUUAGUCAUAGGGGAGUUUGAGGGAUUUUAAGACCCAACCUAAUGACUCAAAAGGAACUUGGAAGAUUUCUCUGCUCUUCAUCAGCGUGGUGUAGUCUUGCUUCCCAGUUUUUCAAAAUCCCCAUUCCAUGGAAGUUGACUGACCAAAUGGCAGAAAAAAUAUCCUAGUUGUCCAGUCCUAGCCUACUCCUAAAAAUUAAGUGGUGGGUACAUAUAUGCUGUUAAUAUACUGAAAGCAAAAGCACUGUAAAUAUUGUGAUCUGUCCAUAUUGCCAUAGGUAUCCAUUACUGUGGGCAGAGUAUUGGGUAUGGAGCCCUUUCCUUAAAUCACAGUGAUAAACUCCUUUAUAGUGUGUUACAGUUUUUAUUUUGUUUUCCAGCUAUUUCCUAGGGAAAUUAAAGUACAAAAACAGCUUUUUGAUAUUUUGAACUUGAUAUCUAGUCAGCCUCCCCAUUUAUAAAAAGAACUCCCAUUCAUUGAACUCCUACUGUGUGCUAGGCACAUGCUUUAUAUUGACUUUGACAUUCAAAAUAACUCUUUGAGUGGGGCUGUGGCUGUGGCUCAGUGGUAGGGCGCCCGCCGAGCACGUGUGAGGCCCUGGGUUCGAUCCUCAGCACCACAUAAAAAUAAAUAAAGAUAUUGUGUCCAUCUACAACUAAAAAAAUGUUUAAAAAAAAUAACCCUUAGUUCGUUAGUAGUAUCCCUGUUUGACCAGUGGGAAAAUUGAUGCCUUAUAAAGAUUGAUACUUAUAAAGCUGGGUUGUGACGAAGCAAGUACUGGAACUAAGAAUUGACCUUUCUGUCUCCCCCCACCCUUAAUCUCAAGUACGCAUUAAGUUUUAUAGAGGUAGAGACAAAGCAUUUUCUUAGGUUAAACUUGUGGGGAGAAGACAAAACUGAAAAAACCCAAAAGGUUCGUGUCUUUUAAAUUUAAUUUUCUCUUGUAUGCUUCUGUUGCCCCUGACCUUUGCAUUGUACAAUAUUUUAACACAUUUUGUAAUUGAUAUAUGUGUGGUUCUUUGUAUGUACAAAAACUUAGUAGUUUUUUAGAGAAAAAGAAUUUAAAAAGUUCAAGUAGGGUGGGAUUGUAGCUCAACAGUAAAACACUUGCCUAGCUUGAGGCUCUGGGUUUGAUCCCCAGCACUGCAUAAAAAAUACUCUAAAAAAAUAUUUUUAAAAGCUCAAGUAUAUAUAUAGCUUGGUGGAUUUGAUUGUCCCCUCAGCAAACCUGAAUAUUCAAUUCCCUCCUCAGGAUGCAGACACUAAAUGAGAGCAUAGUGAUUCAGUACUAGAGUGCUAGCCUGGUGUGCUCUAGCCUGGGUUUGAUGCCCAGCACUGGGGGAAUAAAGAACAUGUGAUCUUUCAUUUCUUUUUAGUGUAAACAGUGUCACUUGGUGCCCAAGAGGACCACUACGUUAUAUUUUAGGUGAGCUAUUUCUAGAUAAAGAGAGUUUUAAAGCGUUUACCUGAACCUCUGAAAGUUGAUUAUAAUUGGAUACAUUAUCAAAACCCAAACUUAAAUUCCAGCCAUUCAGGGAGGGAAACUUUCUGAGGGAGACCCCUGUUUUCACCAUGAAAAAUGAAAACAACCUACAAAGUAAUAUAUAAAUAAAUAUUGCCUAGCACGUGCAAGGGCCUGGGUUCAAUCCUCAGCACCACAUAAAAAUAAAUAAAU
Ictidomys tridecemlineatus (thirteen-lined ground squirrel) is the source of this 3795-nucleotide non-coding RNA. Lineage: Eukaryota; Metazoa; Chordata; Mammalia; Rodentia; Sciuridae. The record is from RefSeq and is a predicted model, not a curated record.